This 161-nucleotide unclassified non-coding RNA is filed under the name fungal sp. Its description in RNAcentral is "partial internal transcribed spacer region". Lineage: Eukaryota; Fungi. The record is from RNAcentral.
CGGCGCAAGCCUGGAAGAGGUGAUCGUCGCCCUGGCGACCGGAUACGAAACAUACGCGCGCAUCGGCAAGCUCGGGUCGCCCGAUCUGCUGAAUGCAGGCUGGCAGUCGCACUCGGUGCUCGCAAAUUUCGGCGCCGCCGCGAUAGCUGCCAAGCUGUACG